Molecule: ribosomal RNA, 457 nt
Filed under: uncultured bacterium
Lineage: Bacteria
Description: bacterial SSU rRNA
Rfam family: Bacterial small subunit ribosomal RNA
Source: RNAcentral
GACGAACGCUGGCGGCGUGCCUAAUACAUGCAAGUAGAACGCUGAAGAGAGGAGCUUGCUCUUCUUGGAUGAGUUGCGAACGGGUGAGUAACGCGUAGGUAACCUGCCUUGUAGCGGGGGAUAACUAUUGGAAACGAUAGCUAAUACCGCAUAACAAUAGGUGACACAUGUCAUUUAUUUGAAAGGGGCAAUUGCUCCACUACAAGAUGGACCUGCGUUGUAUUAGCUAGUAGGUGAGGUAACGGCUCACCUAGGCGACGAUACAUAGCCGACCUGAGAGGGUGAUCGGCCACACUGGGACUGAGACACGGCCCAGACUCCUACGGGAGGCAGCAGUAGGGAAUCUUCGGCAAUGGGGGCAACCCUGACCGAGCAACGCCGCGUGAGUGAAGAAGGUUUUCGGAUCGUAAAGCUCUGUUGUAAGUCAAGAACGAGUGUGAGAGUGGAAAGUUCACAC